Long non-coding RNA from Jaculus jaculus (lesser Egyptian jerboa), 273 nucleotides. RefSeq lists it as uncharacterized. NCBI's taxonomy places the organism in Eukaryota, Metazoa, Chordata, Mammalia, Rodentia, Dipodidae. The record is from RefSeq and is a predicted model, not a curated record. The transcript is spliced from 3 exons.
GGAUCUUCGAUUCUCCACAUUGAUCAGUGUGUUUGAUUUUCCUGCCUUUUGAAAGAAGAGAAUCAGUUACAGCUUUCUUGAGAUUUCUUUUGUUGGUUUGCCUGCUUGGUUUUAGAGGGAGAAGAGACAGAUGCUCAACCAAAACAAGCACCUAACAAGUGGCAGUGCCCAGCAUUUCCUGCAGCUGGUGACAAAGCUCAAUCCUGAGACUUCCAAGUUUGUGGGAACAUCUGGAAAGAUGGUGAUGACCACUGGGAUGACCCAAAAGGCAAC